RNAcentral lists this ribosomal RNA (683 nucleotides) under Rhodophyllis sp. LLG-2014. RNAcentral's name for it is "eukaryotic LSU rRNA". It matches the Rfam family "Eukaryotic large subunit ribosomal RNA", at positions 374 to 1143 of the family's 3401-position model. The record is from RNAcentral. Lineage: Eukaryota; Rhodophyta; Florideophyceae; Gigartinales; Cystocloniaceae.
CUUUGAAAAGAGGGUGAAAAGAACCUGAAACCGUCAUGGGGGAAGCGGAUUGCGUUAGAUUGGUGGGUGCUUAUGUGUUCAGCCAUUGGGUGCAUUGACAUGAGUGCUUAACUGUUGUGGGUUUUUUAGAGUUGAAUUUGAAUUCUUUGAAGCUGAGGGCUCCCCAGUAAUGGGUUGAGGACAGCGGUGUAAUGACGCGAUACGACCCGUCUUGAAACACGGACCAAGGAGUCUAGCAUGGCUGCGAGUCAGAGGGUGCAAGCCUGAGGGCGGAGUGAAAGCGAGUGUGAAAACGAGCAGUUUGAGGCGGCAUAAAAUCGUUGAUUUUAGGACCGACCUAGAGCAGUUAUGCUGGGACCCGAAAGAUGGUGAACUAUGCCUGAAUAGGGCAAAGCCAGAAGAAAUUCUGGUGGAGGCUCGUAGCGGUGCUGACGUGCAAAUCGCUCGUAGAAUUUGGGUAUAGGGGCGAAAGACUAAUCGAACCAUCUAGUAGCUGGUUCCCUCCGAAGUUUCUCUCAGGAUAGCGGGCCGACAAUAGUUGUCUUGUGCGGUAAAGCGAAUGAUUAGCGUAUUUGGGGACGGUAUGUUUUCGGACGAUUCUCAAACUUUAAAUGCGCAAGGGUGUCGCUGCUUGGUUGAGCGGCACCGAUAGAAACGUCGGCCCUGUGGGCCACUUUUGGUAA